CGAUAGUGAACCAGUACCGUGAGGGAAAGGCGAAAAGAACCCCGGCGAGGGGAGUGAAAAAGAACCUGAAACCGUGUACGUACAAGCAGUGGGAGCACAGAGCAAUCUGUGUGACUGCGUACCUUUUGUAUAAUGGGUCAGCGACUUAUAUUCUGUAGCAAGGUUAACCGAAUAGGGGAGCCGAAGGGAAACCGAGUCUUAACUGG
RNAcentral lists this ribosomal RNA (206 nucleotides) under Escherichia coli. Its description in RNAcentral is "partial 23S ribosomal RNA". It matches the Rfam family "Bacterial large subunit ribosomal RNA", at positions 485 to 691 of the family's 2925-position model. Lineage: Bacteria; Pseudomonadati; Pseudomonadota; Gammaproteobacteria; Enterobacterales; Enterobacteriaceae. The record is from RNAcentral.